UGGGGGAUAUUGCACAAUGGGCGAAAGCCUGAUGCAGCGACGCCGCGUGGGGGAUGAAGGCCUUCGGGUUGUAAACUUCUUUUGCUCUGAACAAGGCAUGCUAAUGGGUGUGUUGAGUGUAGGGGUUGAUUAGCGCCGGCUAACUACGUGCCAGCAGCCGCGGUAAUACGUAGGGCGCGAGCGUUGUCCGGAAUGAUUGGGCGUAAUGGGCUUGUAGGUGGCUGGUUGCGUCUGUCGUGAAAGCUCAUGGCUUAACUGUGGGUUUGCGGUGGGUACGGGCUGGCUUGAGAGCAGUAGGGGAGGCUGGAAUUCCUGGUGUAUCGGUGGCAUGCGCAGAUAUCAGGAGGAAUACCGGUGGCGAAGGCGGGUCUCUGGGCUGUUACUGACACUGAGGAGCGAAAGCAUGGGGAGCGAACAGG
RNAcentral lists this ribosomal RNA (419 nucleotides) under bacterium. RNAcentral describes it as "partial 16S ribosomal RNA". It matches the Rfam family "Bacterial small subunit ribosomal RNA", at positions 355 to 776 of the family's 1533-position model. The record is from RNAcentral.